CGCCCUUUUCCGGUUGAUCCUGCCGGACCCGACUGCUAUCGGAUUGAGAUUUAGCCAUGCGAGUUGAACGUCCCUUGAUUGCAGGGGGCGUAGUAUACGGCUCAGUAACACGUAGUCAACCUGCCCUGGAGACGCGGAUAACCCCGGGAAACUGGGACCAAUCCGUGAUAGGUCACCCCAUCUGGAAGGAGGGGCGGCCCAAAGGGGGAUUGUGGGCUUCCACUUUCCUCGCUCUAGGAUGGGACUGCGGCCGAUCAGGCUGUUGGCGGGGUAAUGGCCCACCAAACCUGUAACCGGUACGGGCCUUGAGAGAGGUGGCCCGGAGAUGGACACUGAGACAAGGGUCCAGGUCCUACGGGGCGCAGCAGGCGCGAAACCUUCGCAAUGUGCGAAAGCAUGACGAGGUUAAUCCGAGUGGCUUCCGCUGAGGAAGUCUUUUGCCGACUGUAAAAAGGUCGGAGAAUAAGGGGAGGGCAAGUCUGGUGUCAGCCGCCGCGGUAAUACCAGCUCCUCGAGUGGUCGGGGCGAUUAUUGGGCCUAAAGCAUCCGUAGCCGGUUCCGUAGGUCUCCUGCAAAAUCCAGUCGCUCAACGAUUGGCCCGCAGGAGAUACCGCGGGACUAGGAGGCGGGAGAGGUGGACGGUACUCCACGCGUAGGGGUAAAAUCCUUUGAUCCGUGGAAGACCACCAGUGGCGAAGGCGGUCCACCAGAACGCGCUCGACGGUGAGGGAUGAAAGCUGGGGGAGCGAACCGGAUUAGAUACCCGGGUAGUCCCAGCCGUAAACGAUGCUAGCUAGAUGAUCCGAUCGUAAAUCAUGAUCGGAGUGUCGCAGGGAAGCCGUUAAGCUAGCCGCCUGGGGAGUACGGUCGCAAGACUGAAACUUAAAGGAAUUGGCGGGGGAGCACCACAAGGGGUGAAGCCUGCGGUUCAAUUGGAGUCGACGCCAGGAAACUUACCAGGAGAGACAGCAGAUUGAGGGUCAGACUGAAGAUCUUACCUGACGAGCUGAGAGGAGGUGCAUGGCCGUCGCCAGCUCGUGCCGUGAGGCGUCCUGUUAAGUCAGGCAACGAGCGAGACCCAAAGGGCGAA
Molecule: ribosomal RNA, 1090 nt
Filed under: uncultured Nitrososphaerota archaeon
Lineage: Archaea; Thermoproteati; Nitrososphaerota
Description: bacterial SSU rRNA
Rfam family: Archaeal small subunit ribosomal RNA
Source: RNAcentral